GUUUAUAUGAUGGAACAAAUCACUCGGAUUCCCAAUGAUAAAAAAUGUGAUCAUUAUCAGCUACUUUUGAC
Molecule: non-coding RNA, 71 nt
Organism: Brassica napus (rape)
Lineage: Eukaryota; Viridiplantae; Streptophyta; Magnoliopsida; Brassicales; Brassicaceae
Source: Rfam